CAGCCCGUUUAGCUCAGUGGUAGAGCGCGCCACUCGUAUGUGAAAUGGCGAGGUCGUCGGAUCAAUCCCGACAGUGGGCAAAG
Molecule: transfer RNA, 83 nt
Filed under: Penicillium olsonii
Lineage: Eukaryota; Fungi; Ascomycota; Eurotiomycetes; Eurotiales; Aspergillaceae
Description: tRNA-Thr
Rfam family: tRNA
About the family: Transfer RNA (tRNA) molecules are approximately 80 nucleotides in length. Their secondary structure includes four short double-helical elements and three loops (D, anti-codon, and T loops).
Source: RNAcentral